Molecule: long non-coding RNA, 1037 nt
Organism: Cyprinus carpio carpio
Lineage: Eukaryota; Metazoa; Chordata; Actinopteri; Cypriniformes; Cyprinidae
Source: Ensembl
UGAGUGUGUGUGUGUGUGUGUGUUUCCUCGAAUGUUCAUUUGGUGGCGCUGUGGCUCCUGUUUGGCCACUUUGAUUGAAAGACUGCGAAUGGAGAAAAACGCAGAACUUAAUCCAUUGGCAUCAGAUCCUGUGUAUGUCUAGCUGUGCAUCAUGGAAAGAAAGGUGUCAAAACUUAAUGCAACUAAAUACAGACAUAAGAAUGAUCAGAAAACUCAAGCAAGCAACUUAAAAAACAAAACAAAAAACAAAGGAACAAACUCAGAGAGGCAGAGGACACCGCUGAACAGCUGAUCUGCCGUUAGCUGCGUAAAUUUCCCUCACGGUGAGCAGCUCCCAGAGCCCAGCUGAAUUAAUCACAGCCACACGGACGCGGGGGAGGGGUGGGGGGCAGCCUGAGGAUGAGGACGGAGAGAAGGGUAGAAGAACCCGUGCUGUGAGAAGAGGUCAGAGCUGGAACAUCCAUGGAGUGAAAGGUCUGACAGUAAGAGCAAUGAAGGUGAAGUUCCCUGAAGUAGCUGCAGAAGUCACCAAACUCAAUUAAGAGAUAUGACAUGGCUUGGUGAACAAUGUUCUCAGAAGAUUAUAGCAACUCAUUCAAGGAAAUGCAUCGACAUGGGGCAGAAAGCUGCUCGUAAAGCAAUUUCACAGCAAAUUUGUGGUUGGAUCCGGAUAUGUUUUCAGUCGUAUUUUUUAAAUGCAGUACAGGCAAAGCUUUCCGCUCUCACCCGCUGUGCGCUUCACUCUGCUGAAGCCCGACUCAUUUUCUUCCCACCUCACAUAGACACAGGAUGAAGUCGAGCAGAAACAACAAGACUGAGGAUCAGCGGAGGUCCAGCACACUGGGCUCAUGUCUCCUCUCUGUGGCCUUGUAUUUACCGCUCUGACAACUUUUCUAUUUAACUGGGGGGUUUUUCUACAUAUGCACUCUUAUUUUCAAGGAUUCUCCAAUGUGAGGGUUGCUGCGGCUGCUGCUGGCGCGUGUUUGUAUGUUUAGUGACCGGUUGUGUGAUUUCAGCUGGAAUAAACUCUGUCUGAC